UACUUUGAGAGAGAGUAAACAGUGCGUGAAACCGCUCAAAGGUAAACGGGUAGAGUUGAACUGCAAGCUCUGAGAAAUCAGCUAGUGAGUUUGGCAUGAUCUUGGUCAUGUGGGUUGGCUUCUGGAGCCCUCGGGUAACCGUGGGUCUGACCCUUCGGGGAGGAUGCGUUGAAGUGCUUAUCAUGCGCUGUGCGCUCCAGUUGCGUCGAACCUGCUCGCUAGUGCACGUUCUCAGAGUGUUCACCACGACCGACGCGGUCGUCUGUCUGCUGUGGUCGAACCCGGCUCGCUUAGUCCUUGUGGCUUCGCGGGUUGGGGAUGGCAGGUAGCUUGAUGGUGCGUAUCAGCAAUGGUACGUGCUUUCCUGUGUAAUGAGCUGGCCACAGCAGUACUGUACGGUGUGUCGGAGACGGCGGCUUGGUAUGGUUGCGCGUCUGCCUAGUUCGGCAUAGCAGCCUCGGGUCUGGUUGUCAUGUUGCUUGUCAUGUUGCAAGCCUGAUGAUGGCUCGGAGUUGUGUUGUCGGCGGUGGCGUGUGCUAUGCGUUAGAGGGCCCAUAGUCUGUGGUGUAGUGGUAGACGAUCUACCCGACCCGUCUUGAAACACGGA
This 607-nucleotide ribosomal RNA is filed under the name Gymnophallus sp. 1 JB-2023. RNAcentral describes it as "partial large subunit ribosomal RNA". Lineage: Eukaryota; Metazoa; Platyhelminthes; Trematoda; Gymnophallidae. The record is from RNAcentral.